RNAcentral lists this ribosomal RNA (229 nucleotides) under uncultured bacterium. Its description in RNAcentral is "partial 16S ribosomal RNA". It matches the Rfam family "Bacterial small subunit ribosomal RNA", at positions 111 to 334 of the family's 1533-position model. The record is from RNAcentral.
UAACACGUGGGUGACCUGCCCCGAUGACCGGGACAACCCGAGGAAACUCGGGCUAAUACCGAAUGUGCCCUCAGACCGCAAGGUCGAUGGGGAAAGGAAGCUUCGGCCUCCGCAUCGGGAUGGGCCCGCGGCCCAUUAGCUUGUUGGUGAGGUAACGGCUCACCAAGGCAACGAUGGGUAGCUGGUCUGAGAGGACGAUCAGCCACACUGGGACUGAGACACGGCCCAG